This 509-nucleotide ribosomal RNA is filed under the name uncultured bacterium. RNAcentral describes it as "bacterial SSU rRNA". It matches the Rfam family "Bacterial small subunit ribosomal RNA", at positions 19 to 518 of the family's 1533-position model. The record is from RNAcentral.
CUGGCUCAGGAUAAACGCUGGCGGCGUGCUUAACACAUGCAAGUCGAACGGAGUAUCCUCGGAAGAUUGAAGAGCUUGCUCGGAGAGAUUCUUGGAAUACUUAGUGGCGGACGGGUGAGUAACGCGUGGGUAACCUGCCUCACACAGGGGGAUAACAGUUGGAAACGACUGUUAAUACCGCAUAAGCGCACAGUACCGCAUGGUACAGUGUGAAAAACUCCGGUGGUGUGAGAUGGACCCGCGUCUGAUUAGCUAGUUGGUGAGGUAACGGCCCACCAAGGCGACGAUCAGUAGCCGGCCUGAGAGGGUGUACGGCCACAUUGGGACUGAGACACGGCCCAAACUCCUACGGGAGGCAGCAGUGGGGAAUAUUGCACAAUGGGGGAAACCUUGAUGCAGCCGACGCCGCGUGAGUGAUGAAGUAUUUCGGUAUGUAAAGCUCUAUCAGCAGGGAAGAUAAUGACGGUACCUGACUAAGAAGCACCGGCUAAAUACGUGCCAGCCGCGGC